GAUGAACGCUGGCGGCGUGCCUAAUACAUGCAAGUCGAGCGAACGGACGAGAAGCUUGCUUCUCUGAUGUUAGCGGCGGACGGGUGAGUAACACGUGGAUAACCUACCUAUAAGACUGGGAUAACUUCGGGAAACCGGAGCUAAUACCGGAUAAUAUUUUGAACCGCAAGGUUCAAAAGUGAAAGACGGUCUUGCUGUCACUUAUAGAUGGAUCCGCGCUGCAUUAGCUAGUUGGUAAGGUAACGGCUUACCAAGGCAACGAUGCAUAGCCGACCUGAGAGGGUGAUCGGCCACACUGGAACUGAGACACGGUCCAGACUCCUACGGGAGGCAGCAGUAGGGAAUCUUCCGCAAUGGGCGAAAGCCUGACGGAGCAACGCCGCGUGAGUGCUGAAGGUCUUCGGAUCGUAAAACUCUGUUAUUAGGGAAGAACAUAUGUGUAAGUAACUGUGCACAUCUUGACGGUACCUAAUCAGAAAGCCACGGCUAACUACGUG
This 497-nucleotide ribosomal RNA is filed under the name uncultured bacterium. RNAcentral describes it as "partial 16S ribosomal RNA". It matches the Rfam family "Bacterial small subunit ribosomal RNA", at positions 28 to 507 of the family's 1533-position model. The record is from RNAcentral.